RNAcentral lists this ribosomal RNA (251 nucleotides) under uncultured prokaryote. RNAcentral describes it as "partial 16S rRNA". It matches the Rfam family "Bacterial small subunit ribosomal RNA", at positions 525 to 775 of the family's 1533-position model. The record is from RNAcentral.
ACGGAGGGUGCAAGCGUUAAUCGGAAUCACUGGGCGUAAAGAGCGUGUAGGCGGUUUGAUAAGUUUGAAGUGAAAGCCUACAGCUUAACCAUGGAACUGCAUUGGAAACUGCCAGACUUGAGUGUCGGAGAGGGAGGUGGAAUUCCUGGUGUAGGGGUGAAAUCCGUAGAGAUCAGGAGGAACACCAGUGGCGAAGGCGGCCACCUGGACGAAAACUGACGCUGAGGAGCGAAAGCGUGGGGAGCAAACAG